This 423-nucleotide ribosomal RNA is filed under the name uncultured bacterium. RNAcentral's name for it is "bacterial SSU rRNA". It matches the Rfam family "Bacterial small subunit ribosomal RNA", at positions 359 to 773 of the family's 1533-position model. The record is from RNAcentral.
GAAUAUUGGACAAUGGGGGGAACCCUGACCCAGCCAUGCCGCGUGUGUGAAGAAGGCCUUUUGGUUGUAAAGCACUUUAAGCGAGGAGGAGGCCACUCUGUUUAAUUCCUAGCGAUAGUGGACGUUACUAGCAGAAUACGCCCCGGCUAACUCUGCGCCCGCAUCCGCGGUAAUACAGAGGGUGCAAGCGUUAAUCGGAUUUACUGGGCGUAAAGCGCGCGUAGGUGGCCAAUUAAGUCAAAUGUGAAAUCCCCGAGCUUAACUUGGGAAUUGCAUUCGAUACUGGUUGGCUAGAGUAUGGGAGAGGAUGGUAGAAUUCCAGGUGUAGCGGUGAAAUGCGUAGAGAUCUGGAGGAAUACCGAUGGCGAAGGCAGCCAUCUGGCCUAAUACUGACACUGAGGUGCGAAAGCAUGGGGAGCAAAC